CCGCAUGAAGACAAUCCGAAACAUUCCAUUCCCAGAUGGAAGACCGACGCGGAAAGGCAGGCUGUAUAGCGAACAGCUUGGUGAAACUGACAGGUAAAGAGAAGGUUGUCCGACGGAACUUUGGAAAGACCACUUCCAUGUGGCGCCAAUGAGGCUAUAACCAACUGGCAAAAAGACAGAGGA
This 183-nucleotide non-coding RNA is filed under the name Pusillibacter faecalis. RNAcentral's name for it is "glycine-GGAnGA riboswitch aptamer". It matches the Rfam family "glycine-GGAnGA riboswitch aptamer". Rfam says of the family: glycine-GGAnGA riboswitch is a variant of glycine riboswitch that have in common a U69A change. This riboswitch is associate with genes that encode either saccharopine dehydrogenase or amino acid transporters and other genes with not predicted function. The record is from Rfam by way of RNAcentral. RNAcentral also lists the same sequence under 1 other name. Lineage: Bacteria; Bacillati; Bacillota; Clostridia; Eubacteriales; Oscillospiraceae.